CUUGUUUUCAUAAUAAAAACAAAUUUGCAAAAAGUUUAGUAGCUGUAAGGAGCUAUAGAUGCAAAAAUCGUGUAAUGGCAUAGACUCUAGAUUAUUAUUAUGUUUUUUGAGACAGGAUCUCAUUAUGUAGCUCAGGCUGGCCUUGAACUCACUCUGUAGCCAGUGGUGGCCUCAGUCUUGAAGGAUCCUCCUGCCCCAGCCUCCCAACUGCUAGGAUCACAGGGGUGCGCCAGCCUGAUUGUCUUCUACAUGUUAGUAUCUUAGUAGUAAAAAAGAAACCCUAAUCCAUUGGCUUCACACUUUAGUUUCUUGCUUCUGAUUUAAUGAAAUAAAAUGCCUCAUUGACAGUGUACUCAAGAUGAAUCAAAUUUCCUGACUCUCGCUGACGUAAGCAAGGUACAUCUUUCUCUGCAAACCAGCUUUUUAGACACUGUGCACACAUUAACCUAACAUACAUUUACUCUUUUUGUCCAAAUCAUUGACACUUUUAUUCAGGUGGCAGAUACAUCCUGAAUACUGAUAAUCAGACAUCAGAAAGCAUUAGCCUGUUUUCUGUACAGAGAAACCCAUGGUUCAUCAAGUCCUCCUUUAACACCACCAGGAAGAAGAGACACUGUCUCAGACUUCAAGAAAUUGGAAAACUUGGAAGAUAAAGACAAUAUUUCGAUGAGGAAAAAAAGAUCAGAUAUUCUGUGCCUGCUGUGGGAGAGAAGGUCUGAGCCUUGGCUGAGACGUAAACCCUGUGUGUCUCACCCCUGUGGGAACAGCAGCAUAAGGCACAAUGGGAGAAGACAGGCGGAACCAUAUGCAAACAGAGGAGUUAUUUUAAGACAUGAAAUAUUACUUCCAGGCCUCUUCUCUGCUCAGAAUUCAUUGUUGCCCGCUGGACUCCAGGAAGCGCGCCAAACUUUACACUCAGCACAGAAACUUCCGGAAUCCGCAUGGAGGACCACCCGCAUUAUCCCAGAGCUAGGUCCUUCCUGUGUCCAACUGGAUAUUCCAACGCCAGCUGCCACAAGUUCUUACGCCUCGCACGUUAUUUUUAUGUUACAGCCUCGACAUUCCUCGGGUGGGUGA
This 1077-nucleotide long non-coding RNA is filed under the name Fukomys damarensis (Damara mole-rat). RNAcentral describes it as "lncRNA (ENSFDAG00000021685.1)". Lineage: Eukaryota; Metazoa; Chordata; Mammalia; Rodentia; Bathyergidae. The record is from RNAcentral.